RNAcentral lists this unclassified non-coding RNA (1757 nucleotides) under Homalodisca vitripennis (glassy-winged sharpshooter). RNAcentral describes it as "zinc finger protein 358-like, transcript variant X1". Lineage: Eukaryota; Metazoa; Arthropoda; Insecta; Hemiptera; Cicadellidae. The record is from RNAcentral.
AGCACUGAUAAGACACACGGUGCAGUCUGACCUGUGAGGUGCUACUGAAUCUCAUAACAUUUAAGUUUUAUUAGCUGAUCAGACGAUAUUACUUAUCACGAAGAACGUUGAAUCAAAGUCAAUGGAUCCCAAUCAGGACCUGUCUGGUACAAAACCAGAGUCGCUGGAACCCAAUCAGGACCAGUCUGGUACAAAACUAGAGUCGCUGGGACCCAAUCAGGACCAGUCUGGUACAAAACCAGAGUCGCUGGAACCCAAUCAGGACCAGUCUGGUACAAAACCAGAGUCGCUGGGACCCAAUCAGGACCAGUCUGGUACAAAACCAGAGUCGCUGGAACCCAAUCAGGACCAGUCUGGCACAAGUCCAGAGUCACUGGAACCCAAUCAGGACCAGUCUGACACAACUCCAGAGUCACUGGAACCCAAUCAGGACCAGUCUGAUACAACUCCAGAGUCACUUGAACCCAAUCAGGAACAGUUUGGCACAAGUUCUCAUACAUCCAAUGGUUCCCUAGCCUCAAACAGCAGCUCAAUGACUUCAUCAGUUAAAGCUUCCCGUAACGACCUCCAACCAGGACUACUGGAUGUUCCAUUAUCUCCCACAUUCCCAAGACCCAUAGAACAACGCCGAGAAGAAUUGCUACGAGGUUAUCCAAUUUUGAUGGUAUGUAAGAUACGAAGGAGGCGGUGUCAACGGUGUGGGCGACUGCGACGGCACAUCAUUUUCACAUAAGCUUUGACAUCAAACGGAUAAAUGCAAAAACCUUCCAUAUAAAAUUCACUGAGGCACUUUCAUUAGCUAAAAUGUUUAGUUUUUUAAAAUUAUUAUAUAAGAUGAUAUCAUAUUACUUAAUCCUUUUCACAUAAGCUAUUAAGGUUUGUGUGUGAGAACGAGUCACCAUAAAAUAAUUUGUUUCAGUUUUAAACCCAGACAUGCUACAGUGAUUUAAAGUAAAGAAAGUAACACUAAAGAACGUCAAUUUAAGCACAUUACAGACACUAUUACUGCUCAGAUAUACUUAAAUAUAAUUACUAAUUUUGUUUCCAUAUAUUGUUUUAUUUAAAUUAAUUUUAACAACUUUCAUUAGUAACCUAUUUUAUUUUUUAAGUGUCUAUGAGAGGAUACGAUUCCCAAAAUAAAACAAAAUUAUAACAGCAAUGUAACUUGCUAUAUAUAUUUAUUAGCUUAUUAAUAAAAAGGCACAGUAAGAAAGAAAUAUAAACACAUCAAAUUAUUAUUUGGCCACGUCGCUUAUUCUGUAUUGCACGUCAAAGUUUAGAGUAUCACAAUAAGUGGCAUUUAUUGUUCUUCCUUAUUCCAUAAAUUCUACUAACAAUAUUCCAUUUCUAUCCCAAAACAAGGUUUUUUUUGUUCUCUUAGGACAUGAAGCUUAUAAAUUGCACUUAGUCCUGUAAUAACCUUUGCGCUGUUUCCAGAGUAACAAGAUAUUCAGGGAUGGGUAAGGUUAGGGAGUAGGGGCCGCCUCCUAUCUAGAUCCAUGAGGAAGAAUUAGGGCACUACAUCUCAGUCAUGUCUCCCCAGAAGAAGGGGAGGCCAGCUCUGAACCAGCCUCACCAGUCAAAGUAGGCAAGGGGUGCCUCUUGUUGAGGCUAGCAAGAACCUCUGAUAUUAGGGAACAAACUCCACCAAUUCCAACUGUCAUCUCCCACAGUAGACUAGAUCUAUCGAAUUGCCCAUGAACCCCAGAAUCUCGACAUUUGCGGUUAGUGAUGUGCUGCUCUUGGACAUCCAUAAG